GACGAACGCUGGCGGCGUGCUUAACACAUGCAAGUCGAACGGAAAGGCCCUGCUUUUGUGGGGUGCUCGAGUGGCGAACGGGUGAGUAACACGUGAGUAACCUGCCCUUGACUUUGGGAUAACUUCAGGAAACUGGGGCUAAUACCGGAUAGGAGCUCCUGCUGCAUGGUGGGGGUUGGAACGUUUCGGCGGUUGGGGAUGGACUCGCGGCUUAUCAGCUUGUUGGUGGGGUGGUGGCUUACCAAGGCUUUGACGGGUAGUCGGCCUGAGUGGGUGACCGGCCACAUUGGGACUGAGGUGCGGCCCAGACUCCUACGGGAGGCAGCAGUGGGGAAUAUUGCACAAUGGGCGGAAGCCUGAUGCAGCAACGCCGCGUGCGGGAUGACGGCCUUCGGGUUGUAAACCGCUUUCGCCUGUGACGAAGCGUGAGUGACGGUAAUGGGUAAAGAAGCACCGGCUAACUACGUG
Molecule: ribosomal RNA, 468 nt
Filed under: uncultured bacterium
Lineage: Bacteria
Description: partial 16S ribosomal RNA
Rfam family: Bacterial small subunit ribosomal RNA
Source: RNAcentral